GUGGCGCACGGGUGAGUAACACGUGGGCAAUCUGCCCGGAAGAUCGGGAUAACACCCCGAAAGGGGUGCUAAUACCGAAUACCUACAUUAAUGCGCAUGCAAAGAUGUAGAAAGGAUUUAUCGCUUCCGGAUGAGCCCGCGGCCCAUUAGCUAGUUGGUGAGGUAACUGCUCACCAAGGCAACGAUGGGUAGCUGGUCUGAGAGGACGAUCAGCCACACUGGAACUGAGACACGGUCCAGACUCCUACGGGAGGCAGCAGUGGGGAAUCUUGCGCAAUGGGCGAAAGCCUGACGCAGCAACGCCGCGUGAACGAUGAAGGCCUUCGGGUCGUAAAGUUCUGUCAGGGGGGACGAAUAAUGACGGUACCCCCAGAGGAAGCCCCGGCUAACUACGUGCCAGCAGCCGCGGUAAUACGUAGGUGGCGAGCGUUGUCCGGAAUUAUUGGGCGUAAAGGGAGCGCAGGCGGACAUAUAAGUCCAUCUUAAAAGUGCGGGGCUCAACCCCGUGAGGGGAUGGAAACUGUAUGCCUUGAGUGCAGGAGAGGAAAGCGGAAUUCCCA
This 560-nucleotide ribosomal RNA is filed under the name uncultured bacterium. Its description in RNAcentral is "bacterial SSU rRNA". It matches the Rfam family "Bacterial small subunit ribosomal RNA", at positions 95 to 672 of the family's 1533-position model. The record is from RNAcentral.